This 425-nucleotide ribosomal RNA is filed under the name uncultured bacterium. RNAcentral describes it as "bacterial SSU rRNA". It matches the Rfam family "Bacterial small subunit ribosomal RNA", at positions 356 to 773 of the family's 1533-position model. The record is from RNAcentral.
GGGGAAUUUUGGACAAUGGGCGAAAGCCUGAUCCAGCAAUGCCGCGUGAGUGAAGAAGGCCUUCGGGUUGUAAAGCUCUUUUGUCAGGGAAGAAACGGUUCGGGCUAAUAUCCUGAGCUAAUGACGGUACCUGAAGAAUAAGCACCGGCUAACUACGUGCCAGCAGCCGCGGUAAUACGUAGGGUGCAAGCGUUAAUCGGAAUUACUGGGCGUAAAGCGUGCGCAGGCGGUUUUGUAAGUCUGACGUGAAAUCCCCGGGCUCAACCUGGGAAUUGCGUUGGAGACUGCAAGGCUAGAAUCUGGCAGAGGGGGGUAGAAUUCCACGUGUAGCAGUGAAAUGCGUAGAGAUGUGGAGGAACACCGAUGGCGAAGGCAGCCCCCUGGGUCAAGAUUGACGCUCAUGCACGAAAGCGUGGGGAGCAAAC